RNAcentral lists this long non-coding RNA (615 nucleotides) under Homo sapiens (human). RNAcentral describes it as "non-protein coding lnc-OPLAH-1:6". Lineage: Eukaryota; Metazoa; Chordata; Mammalia; Primates; Hominidae. The record is from RNAcentral.
CACUUCCGGUUCCGGGGAACUACAGCUCUCCGCGGCCCUGACCUCCGUGGAUCUGCGGUUUCCGGCGUUCCGCUGUCACUUCCUGUCCUGGUGAACUGGAGUUCACCGCGGCCCCGACCUCCCCGGAUCUACGGUUUCCGGCGGUCCGGCUCUACUUCUGUCUCCGGGGAACUGCGGCGGCGCUAUCGGGGAAGCAGCGGCUGGGCCCGCAGCCGUUCCCGGAGCUGUGCCACGGGUGCCAGGAGGUGGGCGCCCGCCGAAGGAGGAAUUGCCCAGUCACGCCCUCGUGACCAGUGGUGCCUGCAUUCAGCCCUUCCCCGCGCCCCAAGUGUGAAAGUGGAAGGAUGAACCCAGUGGGGUGCGACACUGACAGGAGAAGGCAUUGAGCGGUCCUAGGAAAGUGACCAGGCUGGUGUCCCAGGAUGGUCCACACCUGGCACCUCUCCAGUCCUCUCAUGCCCUCCCUUUACACCGAGCUUCCACACUGCAGUCAGGUGGGCCUCCCUUUUCCCUUUGAGGAUGCAGAUUUCCUCAUCCUUUCCAGAGAGGGGUUGUAUGUCUGUUUAUCUCUUGCCACUUAACCUCAGCGGCUUCAAAUAAUAAAAAUCAUUCUAU